GAUGAACGCUAGCUACAGGCUUAACACAUGCAAGUCGAGGGGCCCCUCUCUUUUAAGCUUGCUUCCGAUCUUUGUUUUUCGUCGCACGGGUGAGUAACGCGUAUCCAACCUGCCCACCACUUGGGGAUAACCUUGCGAAAGUAAGACUUUGACCCAAUGAUAUCUCUAGAAGACAUCUGAAGGAGAUUAAAGAUUUAUCGGCGAUGGAUGGGGAUGCGUCUGAUUAGCUUGUUGGCGGGGUAACGGCCCACCAAGGCGACGAUCAGUAGGGGUUCUGAGAGGAAGGUCCCCCACAUUGUAACUGAGACACGGUCCAAACUCCUACGGGAGGCAGCAGUGAGGAAUAUUGGUCAAUGGACGAGAGUCUGAACCAGCCAAGUAGCGUGCAGGAUGACGGCCCUAUGGGUUGUAAACUGCUUUUAUAAGGGAAUAAAGUGAGCCUCGUGAGGCUUUUUGCAUGUACCUUAUGAAUAAGGACCGGCUAAUUCCGUGCCAGCCGCCGCGGUAA
This 508-nucleotide ribosomal RNA is filed under the name uncultured bacterium. RNAcentral describes it as "partial 16S ribosomal RNA". It matches the Rfam family "Bacterial small subunit ribosomal RNA", at positions 28 to 523 of the family's 1533-position model. The record is from RNAcentral.